This 1452-nucleotide ribosomal RNA is filed under the name metagenome. RNAcentral describes it as "bacterial LSU rRNA". It matches the Rfam family "Bacterial large subunit ribosomal RNA", at positions 1449 to 2925 of the family's 2925-position model. The record is from RNAcentral.
GUAUGACAGAACUGUGGGGACACGUAAGGAAAGCGGAAGCCGGGAAUGGAAAGCCCGGUGCAAGCUGGGUACCAGUCACUCUGGCAAAUCCGGGUGGCAAUGGGAAGCCGUGAUGCGGAGCGAAAUAAAGUAGCGAAGUCCGUGAGCCAUGCGUCAAGAAAAGCCGCUAUCGUUUAUACCGUACCCGUACCGUAAACCGACACAGGUGGAUGAGGAGAGAAUCCUAAGGCCGGCGGAAGAAGCAUUGUCAAGGAACUCGGCAAAAUGGCCCCGUAACUUAGGGAUAAGGGGUGCCUGGGAAACCAGGCCGCAGAGAAUAGGCUCAAGCAACUGUUUAGCAAAAACACAGGUCUAUGCGAAACCGAAAGGUGAGGUAUAUGGGCUGACGCCUGCCCGGUGCUGGAAGGUUAAGAGGAGAGGUUAGCGCAAGCAAAGCUUUGAAUUUAAGCCCCAGUAAACGGCGGCCGUAACUAUAACGGUCCUAAGGUAGCGAAAUUCCUUGUCGGGUAAGUUCCGACCCGCACGAAAGGCGUAAUGAUUUGAGCGCUGUCUCGACAAUGCAUCCGGUGAAAUUGAAGUACCAGUGAAGAUGCUGGUUACCUGCGCCAGGACGGAAAGACCCCAUGGAGCUUUACUCCAGUUUGGUACUGGGACUCGGUAUUGCAUGUACAGGAUAGGUGGGAGGCUGAGAGACAGUAACGCCAGUUAUUGUGGAGCCGCUGUUGGGAUACCACCCUUGCAGUAUUGGGUUUCUAACCAGCCGCCGUGACCCGGCGGUGGGACAAUGCCAGACGGGGAGUUUGACUGGGGCGGUCGCCUCCGAAAGGGUAUCGGAGGCGCCCAAAGGUUCCCUCAGAAUGGACGGAAACCAUUCGAAGAGUGCAAAGGCAGAAGGGAGCUUGACUGCGACACCGACGGGUGGAGCAGGUACGAAAGUAGGGCUUAGUGAUCCGGUGGUAUUAAGUGGGAAUGCCAUCGCUCAACGGAUAAAAGCUACCCUGGGAUAACAGGCUUAUCACUCCCAAGAGUUCACAUCGACGGAGUGGUUUGGCACCUCGAUGUCGGCUCAUCGCAUCCUGGGGCUGUAGUAGGUCCCAAGGGUUGGGCUGUUCGCCCAUUAAAGCGGUACGCGAGCUGGGUUCAGAACGUCGUGAGACAGUUCGGUCCCUAUCCGGCGUGGGCGUAGGAUAUCUGAGAGGAGCUGUCCUUAGUACGAGAGGACCGGGAUGGACGGGCCGCUGGUGCAUCGGUUAGACUGCCAAGUCUACGGCCGAGUAGCCAAGCCCGGAAGGGAUAAACGCUGAAGGCAUCUAAGCGUGAAGCCCCCCUUAAGAUGAGAUAUCCCAUUCGAAAGAAGUAAACCCCCUUGAAGACGACGAGGUAGAUAGGGCAGAGGUGGAAGUGCAGUAAUGCAUGGAGCUGACUGUUACUAAUCGGGUGAGGGCUUGACCU